Molecule: long non-coding RNA, 1149 nt
Filed under: Falco tinnunculus (common kestrel)
Lineage: Eukaryota; Metazoa; Chordata; Aves; Falconiformes; Falconidae
Description: lncRNA (ENSFTIG00000007591.1)
Source: RNAcentral
AUGAGGCUCCUUCCCAGGGACCCUAAUUCAGAAGAAAUUGAGUGUUUUGCACUUUUUUUCCACGUGGAGCCGCUGGCCAGGCCGGGCUACAAGCCCCCUGCCCGGGCUGGUGGGUCCUGCCGGCGCAUGGCAGCGCGACGUCACGUGGAGCCUUACGGGGAGAGCUGCGCCCCUGAGUGGGGGUGUCACAGCCCCCUCGCGGUGUCUCAGCGCGGGGGGGCAGAGGGCACGCAGCGCCCGAGGUGGGGGGAGGUCGGCGGGGGGCGCCGGUGCCCGGCGGGCAGGCGGCGGGAAUGGGGGGGCGGCCCCGGCAGCCCCCCAGCAGGGCCCGGCGGCGGGAGGAGGCGGCGGGCGGGGCGGCGCGGCGGCGGCGGAGGGGGCCGGGCGGGGGGAGCUGCGGGGAGCGGCGGCGGCGGGCGGCGGCGGCGGCUCGGCCCCGGGUGCCCCAGGGGCUGCCUGCGAGCUGGCGGCGUCCCCGGGGCUCCUGCCCGGCGCGGAGCAUCCUUCUUCCGGGCACCGGCUGGCAGCGGCACCGGCGGCGGCAGCGGCGGCGGCAGCGGCAGCGGCACCGGCAUCGGCAUCAGCAUCGACACGGACACCAACAUCAGCAUCAACGCCGGCACCAACACCGGCAUCGGCAGCACCGCCGACACCGGCAGCAGCACCGCCGGCACCAGUAUCGGUAUCGCUGCUGGCACCAGCCCCAGCGGAGCCCAGAUUGGAGCCAGAGGGGUCCCAGCCAGGAGUCCCCAUACUCUGUGGGGUCCCUCCCUGGCUGAGCGACAUCGGGAGUGGGAACUGCCAGGCCAGGGAGUGGAGCAGGACCCUGGGCACAGGCAAGACGCAGCGCCAGGCCAGGCUGGAGGGUGCCCGGUAAGGCUGCCUGGGAUGGGACCCCCUCUUCUUCCACGAUGCAGUGACCAUGUGAGGAUCACAGCACCCAAAGGUGCCAGCCCUAGGGGUGGGGGGGGUUCCACAGGCAGGGUAACCCCUGCCUUGGCUCCUGGAGAGCCUGCAGUCAGGGUGGGCAGAGGGAGUUGUAGAGGGCUGAGCCCUGGGCAGCUGCAGGCAGGGGAUGCUGCCUGCCUGGAACUAGAGCAUCCUGCCUGGACCAGGGUCCCCUUUGCCCUCCAUGCCCAGAGGGGCUGA